This 1302-nucleotide long non-coding RNA is filed under the name Felis catus (domestic cat). RNAcentral's name for it is "lncRNA (ENSFCAG00000047493.1)". The record is from RNAcentral. Lineage: Eukaryota; Metazoa; Chordata; Mammalia; Carnivora; Felidae.
AUGCUCGUUUUCAAAAGUGUUUGCGGCUCACCUAAAAAACCCACGGUUACCGUUUCCGCGCUAGGAGAGUUCUCUGGUCCCCAGUACUUGCAUAGCGACUUGAUGAUGUUUUCCCAAAAGGGCGGAAAGGCAGUACCCUGCGGCGGCACACGCGCGUCCAGGUAUCCGGCCAGUUUCCCCGCAGGCAGCGCAUCGCACAGGCCCAGUCCGCGUGCCGUUCUCGCUCUUCAUUCCCCGGGUCUCCCUCUGGGAGCCGGGGAGCUUCGCCCACUUGCACCUGCCCGGCACUGCCCGCCACCCGCUCCCUCCCCUCCACUGCACUUCGGAAGUCAGGAGAGAACCGUGCCCGGUCUGUGCGAAAAGCCACCAGAAUCCGUCCCGAACACGGGACCGGGUGGGAGUCAACCCCUCGGGCCAUUACCUGGGUCCCCGCGCGUGGCAGCCCGGCUGCAGGAGCCUCAGAGCAACCAGCCCGAGCGGAGGAGAGCGGCGAGACCCAGCUCCCGCCGCCUGGCUCCCCGGGCGCCACAAAUGGCAGCAGUUUCAGCACCGCGGACCUGGGCGAGCGCGGCGCCCGCAGCCCGGCAGGGGCGCGGGGCUCCCGGGGCGGCCGCGCGGCGGGGCGCCGAGCGAGGGUGGGUGCGGGGCGCGCGGGGAGGCGCCGCCUCCUCCCCUCCCACCUCCCCUAUUUACCUCCUCGGCCAAGGUCACGGCCCCGCGGCGUCAGCCCUCGCGGGCGGGCUGGGUGCCGGCGCUGUCAGCUGGCGGCGAGCGGAGCCCCGACGCAGGGCAGCCUCAUCACACUCGGCGGAUGCGGAACCGCGCGGCUCAGGCCACCGCCGUCGCCGCCGCCGUGCACAGGCCGCCCCGGCAGCCCGCCGCUCGCGCCCGCUCCCCCCCCCCUCCCCGCCGCCUGGCUGGCCCGCUCCCGCCGCCGCCUCUGCUCCCGGGCGCGGGGACCAGCCGAGCGCGCGCCGCAGGCGAGGCGCCGGCCCGUGCGCGCGACUGGGAGGCGGGAGGAGGGGCGGUCACGUGGGCCGGGCGGCCGGAGGCGCGGGCGCCCCGAGGCCGCCCCGCCGCCCGCCCUCGCGCCCCGGCCCCGCGGGCGCACAGCCCGCGCGGUCGCCGGUGCGGGCGCCGCGGGCGGCCUGGGGGCCCGCGCAGAGCGGCGAGCGGCAGCCGGAAGGGCAGGGCGGGCGCGCGGAUGGAGGGAUGCAGGGCUGGAUGGAGUCCCGCGCAGCCGGCGCGUUUCAUCACGUGCCUGCUGACUCCGCUGACAGUGCGAGGGCAGCGGAUGAUUGA